RNAcentral lists this long non-coding RNA (1026 nucleotides) under Musa acuminata (dwarf banana). RNAcentral describes it as "long non-coding RNA (MACU_LNC011442)". The record is from RNAcentral. Lineage: Eukaryota; Viridiplantae; Streptophyta; Magnoliopsida; Zingiberales; Musaceae.
UUUCUCAUAUUCUGGUUUCAUUCCUUUGGAAAUUGAUAUCUUUUAGCCUUCUUAUUCAAUUGAGCUUUAUAUUACUGCUUUGAAUUCUUGUAUGCUCUUGUCCUUAAAAUUAUUUGUAUUUUUGAAAACUAUUGUGUAACGUUUUAGCUAUAUCGUAUUGACUCCUAUAGGCACAUGUAUAACCCAUUGUUCCGCAUUUGCUUUCGAUGUGUGCCUAUUCUAGUUUCAUUCCUUUGGAUAUUGAAUUCUUCUAACCUUCUUAUUUGAAUUGAGCUAAAUAUGAUUGCUUGGAAUCCCUGUACAUUCUUGUUUUCAUUUCAUUCCAAAUCUGAAUACAUUUGUGAGAGAUUUGUUCUUUGUUUCGUAUUGUCUCGAAAAGGCACAUGCACGUUUUGUUGUUCCGCGUGUGCUGCCGAUAUAUGCUACUUAUUGUUAAAACUGCCCUUUUGUACUCUGGUGUGUGGGAUUGUCUGGACCUUUGCUAGAAAUGGUAAAGGGUAUGCGCUUAUUGCCCGCUCUGUGGGGUCCCGCUCUGUGGGAUAUUCUGGACCUUUGCUAGAAAUGGUAAAGGGUAUGUGCUUAGAGCCUGCGAUGCUCUGCCGGCCCCCUCUGACUUCACCUAGACGUGGGUGGAUGGAGCUCCCAGACGUAGGAGACUUUUGUCAGGUGGUCAUUCAGAAAUGGGUGAAUCACAUUCUGACUGAGAUCCCACUACACCUUCUGUAUGUUUGAUAUGAUAUCCAUAGCUUUGGUUAUGUGUUUAUGUACAUGCUUUGGAUAAGAUUGAUAUGUUUGCAACGUCAAAGACGACGUUUGAGCUUCUGUACGGUAUUUGUUAUUGAUAUGCUCUGAAAUGUUUCAUCCAUUGUUGAUAUGUUUUCGAAAUGUUCCAUAUGUCGUUGAUAUGCUCCGGAACAUUUCAUAUGCUAUUGAUAUGCUCCAAUUACUCUGUGCUUCAUUUGCUAUGAACUGAUAUGUUCUGAAAUGUCCUAUCUGCCAUUGAUAUGCUCCAAUUACUCUAUGCUU